AUGCUCACCGUAGAACGUAUUGAAAAUGUGGAUAAAAAGAUCCACGAUCAUGCUAAUCUAAUUGGGUCGAGGGUAGGAGAUACUCUCAAGUUACUAAAAGAGAGACCCAUUGUUAACAAAAGGGUAGAGGAGAGCCCUGCUUGGAUUGAUAAAUUGGAAGAAAUUUUUAGUAACUUGAGAUCAACUGUUUUUUCCAUUAAAACUAUUGAAAAAUUCCUACUAGUAACAAUUCCAAGUCUACACAUGUUCCUAAGAGCAAGGGUGUCACUUCUAGUAGCAACAAUGAAGAUCUUAAAAUGA
RNAcentral lists this ribosomal RNA (300 nucleotides) under Triticum aestivum (bread wheat). RNAcentral describes it as "partial small subunit ribosomal RNA". The record is from RNAcentral. Lineage: Eukaryota; Viridiplantae; Streptophyta; Magnoliopsida; Poales; Poaceae.